UGACAGUACUCCUACGGGGAGGCAGCAGUGGGGGAAUAUUGCACAAUGGGCGCAAGCCUGAUGCAGCCAUGCCGCGUGUGUGAAGAAGGCCUUCGGGUUGUAAAGCACUUUCAGUCGUGAGGAAGGUAGUGUAGUUAAUAGCUGCAUUAUUUGACGUUAGCGACAGAAGAAGCACCGGCUAACUCCGUGCCAGCAGCCGCGGUAAUACGGAGGGUGCGAGCGUUAAUCGGAAUUACUGGGCGUAAAGCGCAUGCAGGUGGUUUGUUAAGUCAGAUGUGAAAGCCCGGGGCGUCAACCUCGGAAUAGCAUUUGAAACUGGCAGACUAGAGUACUGUAGAGGGGGGUAGGAAUUUCAGGUGUAGCGGUGAAAUGCGUAGAGAUCUGAAGGAAUACCGGUGGCGAAGGCGGCCCCCUCGGACAGAUACUGACACUCAGAUGCGAAAGCGUGGGGAGCAAACAGGAUUAGAUACCCUGGUAG
RNAcentral lists this ribosomal RNA (478 nucleotides) under uncultured bacterium. RNAcentral's name for it is "bacterial SSU rRNA". It matches the Rfam family "Bacterial small subunit ribosomal RNA", at positions 328 to 793 of the family's 1533-position model. The record is from RNAcentral.